AGUGAACGCUGGCGGUAGGCCUAACACAUGCAAGUCGAACGGCAGCACAGCAAGAGCUUGCUCUUACGGGUGGCGAGUGGCGGACGGGUGAGGAAUACAUCGGAAUCUACUUUUUCGUGGGGGAUAACGUAGGGAAACUUACGCUAAUACCGCAUACGACCUACGGGGGAAAGCAGGGGAUCUUCGGACCUUGCGCGAUUGAAUGAGCCGAUGUCGGAUUAGAUAGUUGGCGGGGUAAAGGCCCACCAAGGCGACGAUCCGUAGCUGGUCUGAGAGGAUGAUCAGCCACACUGGAACUGAGCCACGGUCCAGACUCCUACGGGAGGCAGCAGUGGGGAAUAUUGGACAAUGGGCGCAAGCCUGAUCCAGCCAUACCGCGUGGGUGAAGAAGGCCUUCGGGUUGUAAAGCCCUUUUGUUGGGAAAGAAAAGCAGCAGGUUAAUACCCCGCUGUUCUGACGGUACCCAAAGAAUAAGCACCGGCUAACUUCGUG
This 492-nucleotide ribosomal RNA is filed under the name uncultured bacterium. Its description in RNAcentral is "partial 16S ribosomal RNA". It matches the Rfam family "Bacterial small subunit ribosomal RNA", at positions 29 to 507 of the family's 1533-position model. The record is from RNAcentral.